RNAcentral lists this ribosomal RNA (373 nucleotides) under uncultured bacterium. Its description in RNAcentral is "bacterial SSU rRNA". It matches the Rfam family "Bacterial small subunit ribosomal RNA", at positions 29 to 412 of the family's 1533-position model. The record is from RNAcentral.
AACGAACGCUGGCGGCGUGCCUAACACAUGCAAGUCGAACGAGGGUAGUAAUACUCUAGUGGCGGACGGGUGAGUACACCAUAGGUGAUCUGCCCUUCAGUGGGGGAUACCCAGUCGAAAGAUUGGCUAAUACCGCAUACGUUCCUCGGGUUAAAGACCGGGGAGGAAAGAUUCAUCGCUGAAGGAUGAGCCUGUGUCCGAUUAGCUAGUUGGUGGGGUAAUGGCCCACCAAGGCGACGANCGGUAGCUGGUCUGAGAGGACGAUCAGCCACACUGGGACUGAGACACGGCCCAGACUCCUACGGGAGGCAGCAGUGGGGAAUAUUGGACAAUGGGCGCAAGCCUGAUCCAGCAAUUCCGCGUGGGUGAAGAA